This 1015-nucleotide long non-coding RNA is filed under the name Marmota monax (woodchuck). The record is from RNAcentral. Lineage: Eukaryota; Metazoa; Chordata; Mammalia; Rodentia; Sciuridae.
AAGUUCCCGAUACUUCUAAUACUCUUCUCAUUUUUCCCAUGGGUUUGCCAGAUAAGUAUAUGCACCUCAAGAAUAAUCAACUGAAGACUGAUGGAAGUUGGUGGAUGAAUACCCCAUUUCCUUCUCCUCAGGUGGGACAACUCUGAAGCAUGGCAUGGCACCUUCCCCCAACAGCCCUACCAAGCCCAAGCCCAGGGAACUCAUGGUGGUUACUUAACAAUAAUAAACCCUUCAUUGGCAGCCUUCCCUUCUCUUCCCUGACCCCAUGCUGGUACUUCCCAAGGUCACUUCCCAAAUAACCUUUUUUUCCUUGUGUUCUUAUUUCAGUUUUUAGCGAUAUUAACCCUGAGGCACUGCCUAAUGCACUAACUGACCUUCAUUCUUCAGAAUUCAACUUAGAAGUUGCCUCUUCAUGGAACUGUCUGAUUUCCUCUCUCGGACAUGCAAGGUUCGAUCAGGAAUCUUUUCCACAGGCUCUCUGACACGUAGAAGGUGGCCAAUGUUUGUUCAUUAAUGGAUGACGUGUCUCUAGGUGAAAAGCACAUGCGAGAAGUAUGGCAUGAGGCCUCACAUAUAUUCAGUUCCCCAACGGUUUCCUGCAGAUGCGUUGCUCCAGCUCCAGUCUGAUCUCUGGUCAAGGUCCUCCCCCUUCUGGAGGAUAUAUUGAUUAGUGCUCUCUGGGGACAGUUCUAUUGAUAAUCUGGCUCUUCUCAGAAACACACAGCAUAAACAACCUUUCAGAUUUAUCCCAGCCUCCCUUGCUCAAUGUUAGCUGUUUCUCCUGGAAAUAUCGGUUUGGGGAGGAGAUGUUUAUUACCCCUAUGUCAUUUCUCAAGCCACGUUGGACACAUGAAGCCAAGCAAACAAUGGACUGUAACUGCUAAAAUAUGAGGAUCAAGUCUUCUACUUCAGCAUCUGGCCUUGUCCAGGAAGCUAUUUCUUUUCCUGCAGAGACUUGUGGCAACAAAGUGGACUCCCCAAGUUACAGCAUCCAAGCAAACAAGCACUAAGUCAC